CGAGGCGAACCGGGGAAACUGAAACAUCUCAGUACCCCGAGGAAAAGAAAUCAACCGAGAUUCCCCCAGUAGCGGCGAGCGAACAGGGAGCAGCCCAGAGUCAACAUCAAUAUUUACCGCAGGAGAAGGGUCUGGAAAGGCCGGCAAUAAAGGGUGAUAGCCCCGUAUCUGAAGCGGUAAGUGUUGUGAACUCGAAGAGUAAGGCGGGACACGUGUUAUCCUGUCUGAAUAUGGGGGGACCAUCCUCCAAGGCUAAAUACUCCUGACUGACCGAUAGUGAACCAGUACCGUGAGGGAAAGGCGAAAAGAACCCCGGCGAGGGGAGUGAAAUAGAACCUGAAACCGUGUACGUACAAGCAGUAGGAGCACCCGAAAAGGUGUGACUGCGUACCUUUUGUAUAAUGGGUCAGCGACUUAUAUUCUGUAGCAAGGUUAACCGCAUAGGGGAGCCGUAGGGAAACCGAGUCUUAACUGGGCGUUAAGUUGCAGGGUAUAGACCCGAAACCCGGUGAUCUAGCCAUGGGCAGGUUGAAG
Molecule: ribosomal RNA, 534 nt
Filed under: Arsenophonus nasoniae (son-killer infecting Nasonia vitripennis)
Lineage: Bacteria; Pseudomonadati; Pseudomonadota; Gammaproteobacteria; Enterobacterales; Morganellaceae
Description: partial 23S ribosomal RNA
Rfam family: Bacterial large subunit ribosomal RNA
Source: RNAcentral